RNAcentral lists this small nuclear RNA (154 nucleotides) under Castor canadensis (American beaver). Its description in RNAcentral is "U12 minor spliceosomal RNA (ENSCCNG00000011690.1)". It matches the Rfam family "U12 minor spliceosomal RNA". Rfam says of the family: Although the U12 sequence is very divergent from that of U2, the two are functionally analogous. The record is from Rfam by way of RNAcentral. Lineage: Eukaryota; Metazoa; Chordata; Mammalia; Rodentia; Castoridae.
AUACCUUAAACUUAUAAGUCAGGAAAAUAAUGGUUCAGGAUGAUCGAUGCCAGAAUCCUACCGCCAAUGUGUGAGUAAUUUUUUGAGAUGGUAAAGGCUGUCCCUAAGGUGACUCACUUACUUUGCAGGAUGCCUGGUUAUAGUUAUCUUCCUG